AACGAACGCUGGCGGCAGGCCUAACACAUGCAAGUCGAGCGAGAUCUUCGGGUCUAGCGGCGGACGGGUGAGUAACGCGUGGGAAUAUGCCUCUUGGUACGGAAUAGCCUCGGGAAACUGGGAGUAAUACCGUAUGUGCCCUUUGGGGGAAAGAUUUAUCGCCAAGAGAUUAGCCCGCGUUGGAUUAGGUAGUUGGUGGGGUAAUGGCCUACCAAGCCGACGAUCCAUAGCUGGUUUGAGAGGAUGAUCAGCCACACUGGGACUGAGACACGGCCCAGACUCCUACGGGAGGCAGCAGUGGGGAAUCUUAGACAAUGGGGGCAACCCUGAUCUAGCCAUGCCGCGUGAGUGAUGAAGGCCUUAGGGUUGUAAAGCUCUUUCAGCUGGGAAGAUAAUGACGGUACCAUCAGAAGAAGCCCCGGCUAACUCCGUG
This 433-nucleotide ribosomal RNA is filed under the name uncultured bacterium. RNAcentral describes it as "partial 16S ribosomal RNA". It matches the Rfam family "Bacterial small subunit ribosomal RNA", at positions 29 to 507 of the family's 1533-position model. The record is from RNAcentral.